GAUUUCGGUUACACCGUUUUCACCCUUUGUUUAACGUACCACAUGUUUCCUCGGGGGGCUUGCCCCCCGUUAGGACAACCCAUCAACCUUUUUGUAAUAGCAGUUAGCGUCUGAAAACUAAGUUAAUUAUUAAAACUUUCAACAAUGGAUCUCUUGGUUCUGGCAUCGAUGAAGAACGCAGCGAAAUGCGAUAAGUAGUGUGAAUUGCAGAAUUCAGUGAAUCAUCGAAUCUUUGAACGCACAUUGCGCCCCUUGGUAUUCCAUGGGGCAUGCCUGUUCGAGCGUCAUUUGAACCCUCAAGCUUUGCUUGGUGUUGGGUGAUUGUCCCGCCUUUGCGUGUGGACUCGCCUUAAAGUCAUUGGCAGCCAUGUAAUUCGGCUUUGAGCGCAGCACAUUGCGAUCUCUCUGCUGGUACAUUGGCAUCCAGAAGCCUUUUUUUACGCUUGACCUCGGAUCAGGUAGGGAUACCCGCUGAACUUAAGCAUAUCAAUAAGCGGAGGAAAAGAAACCAACAGGGAUUGCCCUAGUAACGGCGAGUGAAGCGGCAACAGCUCAAAUUUGAAAUCUGAUCUCUUCGAGGUCCGAGUUGUAAUUUGUAGAGGGCGCUUUGGUGUUGGCUGCGGUCUAAGUUCCUUGGAACAGGACGUCAUAGAGGGUGAGAAUCCCGUCUGUGGUCGCAUGUCUUCACCGUGUAAAGCCCCUUCGACGAGUCGAGUUGUUUGGGAAUGCAGCUCUAAAUGGGAGGUAAAUUUCUUCUAAAGCUAAAUACUGGCCAGAGACCGAUAGCGCACAAGUAGAGUGAUCGAAAGAUGAAAAGCACUUUGGAAAGAGAGUCAAAAAGCACGUGAAAUUGUUGAAAGGGAAGCGCUUGCAGCCAGACUUGCUUGCAGUUGCUCAUCCGGGCGUUCGCCCGGUGCACUCUUCUGUAGGCAGGCCAGCAUCAGUUUGGGCGGUUGGAUAAAGGCCUCUGUCAUGUAUCUUCUCCGGAAGACCUUAUAGGGGAGGCGUAAUGCAACCAGCCUGG
This 1024-nucleotide ribosomal RNA is filed under the name Acrocalymma sp. Its description in RNAcentral is "eukaryotic LSU rRNA". The stretch from base 445 to 1024 matches the Rfam family "Eukaryotic large subunit ribosomal RNA", at positions 1 to 585 of the family's 3401-position model. Lineage: Eukaryota; Fungi; Ascomycota; Dothideomycetes; Pleosporales; Acrocalymmaceae. The record is from RNAcentral.